AUACGUAGGGUGCGAGCGUUGUCCGGAAUUACUGGGCGUAAAGAGCUCGUAGGUGGUUUGUCGCGUCGUCUGUGAAAUUCCGGGGCUUAACUCCGGGCGUGCAGGCGAUACGGGCAUAACUUGAGUACUGUAGGGGAGACUGGAAUUCCUGGUGUAGCGGUGAAAUGCGCAGAUAUCAGGAGGAACACCGGUGGCGAAGGCGGGUCUCUGGGCAGAAACGGACGCUGAGGAGCGAAAGCAUGGGUAGCGAACAGGAUUAGAUGCCCUGGUAGUCCAUGCCGUAAACGGUGGGCGCUAGGUGUAGGGGUCUUCCACGACUUCUGUGCCGUAGCUAACGCAUUAAGCGCCCCGCCUGGGGAGUACGGCCGCAAGGCUAAAACUCAAAGGAAUUGACGGGG
This 398-nucleotide ribosomal RNA is filed under the name uncultured bacterium. RNAcentral describes it as "partial 16S ribosomal RNA". It matches the Rfam family "Bacterial small subunit ribosomal RNA", at positions 523 to 918 of the family's 1533-position model. The record is from RNAcentral.